AGAAUGUUUUAAUAAGUCAAUAGAAUGUCAUUUUCAUAUUAAUAGACGAUGUCUUAUGAAUUCAUUAGCAAUGAAUGAUGCUAGUCUGAUACUGAUAGUGCUGGAGGAGCAUUAUUGCGUCGCCACCGCCACACAAUGAUCGACGUUGCAUGAAAGUGGCUCGUCGAUCCAUUUCCCCAGAGCAACAACUCUUUUUCAUUUCCUCAAUGCUGCAAAGAUCUAGACGCUGAUUCCUGGAGGUCUUGCAUCUCAGCACUGGAUGAUUCCAGGACUUCUCGGUGCCACUCCUGAUGCUGAAAUCCAGUAAAAACGAGCUUACUGUAUCAACGAAAGGACUGGAAUGUUACAGAAAAUGCUGUAGACGCUGCAUGUUGCGGUUACCCAGAUGGUCGAAAUGAGUCAGAUACUAACCGA
RNAcentral lists this long non-coding RNA (414 nucleotides) under Physcomitrium patens. Its description in RNAcentral is "long non-coding RNA (PPAT_LNC005384)". The record is from RNAcentral. Lineage: Eukaryota; Viridiplantae; Streptophyta; Bryopsida; Funariales; Funariaceae.